RNAcentral lists this ribosomal RNA (465 nucleotides) under uncultured Klebsiella sp. RNAcentral describes it as "bacterial SSU rRNA". It matches the Rfam family "Bacterial small subunit ribosomal RNA", at positions 338 to 795 of the family's 1533-position model. Lineage: Bacteria; Pseudomonadati; Pseudomonadota; Gammaproteobacteria; Enterobacterales; Enterobacteriaceae. The record is from RNAcentral.
CCUACGGGAGGCUGCAGUGGGGAAUAUUGCACAAUGGGCGCAAGCCUGAUGCAGCCAUGCCGCGUGUGUGAAGAAGGCCUUCGGGUUGUAAAGCACUUUCAGCGGGGAGGAAGGCGGUGAGGUUAAUAACCUCAUCGAUUGACGUUACCCGCAGAAGAAGCACCGGCUAACUCCGUGCCAGCAGCCGCGGUAAUACGGAGGGUGCAAGCGUUAAUCGGAAUUACUGGGCGUAAAGCGCACGCAGGCGGUCUGUCAAGUCGGAUGUGAAAUCCCCGGGCUCAACCUGGGAACUGCAUUCGAAACUGGCAGGCUAGAGUCUUGUAGGGGGGGGUAGAAUUCCAGGUGUAGCGGUGCAAUGCGUAGAGAUCUGGAGGAAUACCGGUGGCGAAGGCGGCCCCCUGGACAAAGACUGACGCGCAGGUGCGAAAGCGUGGGGAGCAAACAGGAUUAGAUAGCCUAGUAGGC